RNAcentral lists this non-coding RNA (170 nucleotides) under Actinoplanes sp. Its description in RNAcentral is "Glycine sequence". It matches the Rfam family "Glycine riboswitch aptamer". Rfam says of the family: This family represents the bacterial glycine riboswitch. Glycine riboswitches usually consist of two metabolite-binding aptamers domains with similar structures in tandem. Lineage: Bacteria; Bacillati; Actinomycetota; Actinomycetes; Micromonosporales; Micromonosporaceae. RNAcentral also lists the same sequence under 1 other name. The record is from RNAcentral.
UCCACCCACGCGGGAGAGACCGCCGGUUCAGCCCGAAUCGCCGUUUAGUUUGAUCGUCGCCGUUCAGUCUGAUCGUCGUCGUUCAGCCUGAUCGUCGUCGAGCAGACCGGUGGCGCCGAAGGGGCAAAUCCUCCCCGGAACCUCUCAGGCAAAAGGACCGCGGGGGAAGG